CAGACGACCCUCGGGCAGCUCGGGAGGCUCAUGACGCAGUAAGCUGGCUGACUCCAGCAGGAUCUUGCGGGACUCCUAGAGAAACAGAAGAAUAAUUACAUACAUACAUACAUACGAUUUCAGGUGUCACUCACCAUGACAUAUCCCAGCAAAGCCGCGGGUCCCUCUUCGAGGGAGCGUCGGCGACCAGUUUCUGCGAUUGCUGCAUGUAACUCAAACAGAAGGGAGCCCCGCACUCGGGUCUCAGCUGGAAAAUAAUACAUACAUACAUACAUAUGGUCACGUCUAUAUCCCUUGCGGGGUAGACAGAGCCAACAGUCUUGAAAAGACUGAAUGGCCACGUACAGCUAUUUGGCUUAACGAUAGAAUUGAGAUUCAACUAGUGACAGGUUGCUAGCCCAUCGCCUAAAAAAGACUCCCAAGUAUGUAAGCCUAUCCCUUAGUCGCCUUUUACGACAUCUUUCUUUUUUGUAUUGGUGCCGGGAGCCACACGGCAAAGUAAUGUUGGAAAAUAAUAACAUUAUCUUUUGUCAUCCUUAUGAUUGGAAUUCCCUCAACAUCUUGGGGAAUUUCAAGGCAAGGGUGAGUCAGAUAUUAUUUGAGUUUGCGUGCAAUACUUUAGAACUCAUCUUGCUUACCACAUGGCAGAUUUAAGUCAAACGUACUCAAAUGUAUUAUAAAAAAACACAUUAUCUAAAUUUUUAAAUUAAAAUUUCGAGGGAUGAAACUUGGAGCGUGGCUGCAUAUGUGAUUUGUAUGUUGUAAUUAACAAAUUAGCUUAGUGGCUACUUCUUCUUCUUCUUAAAUUCACGAGAGUCCUUUAUUCACAAUUGGUUGUGCAAAAAUAAGCUCAUGCUUGUCUAUGAAGAAGUAAAGAUGCCCAAACCAAAUUUAUUAUUGAGCCAGGAAUUAUCAGAUUAUCGUAAAUUUCAGAAACUGGUAUCAAUAUACCAGUUUCUGAAAUUUAAAUAGAGAUAUCUAGAUUAAGUUAUAGGCCCAAGCUUAUUUCACGGCACCACAAAUUGGUAGUUAGGUAUUUAGAGUGUCAGUUUACCAGGGGCUAAUGUCUCUAGCAAGUCUGCGAUCUUCCUGCAAAGCUGGGUCUUCAGCAUCAGUCUGUCAUCCGUCACCUUAGCCAAUCCUAGUUCAGUCUCCUGGCCGAUCAUCUGCGCCAGCGCCAGGCUCACGUCCGUCAUGUAGUAAUGUUGUGGGUGAAGAUAGCUACUGCAGUGCUCGAUGAAUCUAAAGAGCGCUGUAGUUGGUGCCAAAUUCAGUGGUGUCAGAGCAGCGCUGGCAGCGGCACUCGAAGAACUUGGAGUCUGCCAGGUGGUGACGGCG
Long non-coding RNA from Amyelois transitella, 1338 nucleotides. RefSeq lists it as uncharacterized. The record is from RefSeq and is a predicted model, not a curated record. Lineage: Eukaryota; Metazoa; Arthropoda; Insecta; Lepidoptera; Pyralidae. The transcript has 3 exons.